Long non-coding RNA from Lonchura striata (white-rumped munia), 1615 nucleotides. The record is from Ensembl. NCBI's taxonomy places the organism in Eukaryota, Metazoa, Chordata, Aves, Passeriformes, Estrildidae.
UGGGUCCUGUCCCCUGUCCCUCGCCCCGGGCUGGCACCUGCGGGUGGCAGCGGCUCUGCCGGGACGGUCAUCGCCCGCCCCGUCCCCUGCAGCCUCCUGGGCAGCGGAUCCGUCCUCGCUGUCACCUCCUGGCAGGGGCGCUGCUGCCACAUCCAGGUGAGUGUCACCGGCCUGUGGCAGUGUCCCUGCUGCCACAUCCAGGUGAGUGCCACCGGCCUGUGGCAGUGUCCCUGCUGCCACAUCCAGGUGAGUGUCACCGGCCUGUGGCAGUAUCACUGCUGCCACAUCCAGGUGAGUGCCACCGGCUCCUGGCAAUGCUGCCAUGUCCAGGUGAGUGUCACCAGCUCCCAGGGACACAGGGCUGGGUCUGGCCCCAGCUAAGCCCGAGUCAAAGCCGAGCUAACACCGGGUUUAAAGCCCCGGGCAGGGAGCAGGAGGUGCAGGAUGCCCAACUCGCGGCACUCGCCCCGGCCCCCGGGAGCCGCCUGGCCCAGCCUGGGAAGGGCCGCGGGAGCUGCCGGGGGCUGCUGCCAGCAGAGCUAACGCCGUGCCCUGUCCCCAGCUGCGCCCCCUGUUCCUCCUGGCCCUGGCAGAUUUCCUGGGUGCCACGGCGCUGCUGGGCACGGGAACCAUCCCGCUGCUGCCGGCCCCCCUCUCCGUGCCCGCCUACGCCGCCUGUCCCUACGGGCGGAUGCUGACCACGACCUCCUACGCCGUCUCGUUCCUCAUGGUCGCUGUUUACGCGUUCGAGUCGCACCGCACCGUGCUCGGGGGGCGAGCCCGGCCCCCGGCAGCGCUGCAGGAGCGGAGCCGCUGCCUGGAGAGCGCCUGGCAGGGAAUUCCGUACGUCCUGGCCUGGCUGGUGCCGGCGCUGACUCUCCUGGCGCAGCUGCUCGCCCGCGGCACCUCCGCCGCCGACAUCGCGCCCGUGGUGCCCUGGGCCGGCUCCAACGACACCUUCAGCCUUUACUGCUCCAGCUGCCUCCUCCUGAUCCACCCGAACCAGGACAUCUGCUCCCAGUCCGGCGGGGGCAAGAACGCGGGGCUGGAGGAGAAAAUCAUCUUCCUGCUGUACCUGCUGCUGGUGCUCGGCUGCUGCUCGCUCCUGUACCGGCGGGUGCGGCUCCGGUGCCGGGGGAACGCGGCGCUGCCGCUGCUGAGCCUGGACAGGGACGGCGGCUUCGGGGGCAGGAGCGGCCGCAGCGUCAGCAAAGCCUCGCUGUACUUCCAGCUGGUUUUCCUGCUCUGCUGGACGCCAGGCAAGGCCAGGGGGGUGUCCCAAAGCCCCCAGCCCCACAGGGUCACAGUGAGGGUGUCCCCAGGGUCACAGUGAGGGUGUCCCCAGCUCCCCCAGCCCCACAGGGUCACAGUGAGGGUGUCCCCAGCCCCUCAGGGUCACAGUGAGGGUGUCCCCAGCUUCCCCAGGGUCACAGUGAGGGUGUCCCCAGCCCCUCAGGGUCACAGUGAGGGUGUCCCCAGCUUCCCCAGGGUCACAGUGAGGGUGUCCCCAGCUCCCCCAGCUUCCCCAGGGUCACAGUGAGGGUGUCCCAGCUCCCCAGGGUCACAGUGAGGGUGUCCCCAGCUCCCCCAGCCCCUCAGGGUCACAGUGAGGGUG